RNAcentral lists this ribosomal RNA (343 nucleotides) under uncultured Acidobacteriota bacterium. RNAcentral's name for it is "bacterial SSU rRNA". It matches the Rfam family "Bacterial small subunit ribosomal RNA", at positions 32 to 351 of the family's 1533-position model. The record is from RNAcentral. Lineage: Bacteria; Pseudomonadati; Acidobacteriota.
AAUCAACGCUGGCGGCGUGCCUAACACAUGCAAGUCGAACGAGAAAAUUCUGGGUGUAGCAAUACAUCCGGGGUGAGUAAAGUGGCGUACGGGUGAGUAACACGUAGCCAACCUACCCUCAAGUGGGGAAUAACCCGGGGAAACCUGGGCUAAUGCCGCAUAACAUCCCGGUUCCACAAGAGACUGGGAUCAAAGGCCCGCAAGGGUCGCUGGAGGAGGGGGCUGCGGCCGAUUAGCUAGUUGGUGAGGUAACGGCUCACCAAGGCGAUGAUCGGUAGCCGGCCUGAGAGGGCGCACGGUCACACUGGCACUGAAACACGGGCCAGACACCUACGGGUGGCAG